UUAACAAAACAACAACCUGCAUAAGUAAAAGGUUUUUAACCUGAUUUAUUCGGUACAUUUCUAACAAUGGCAAAGAUGUGCAAACAAACCACACUUACACCAGCUGUACAUGUAUUUAAAUAGGCAUGCAUGCCUUUGUUAACAGAGAAGACAAAAUCAACCUAGCCUUAAGAGUGAAUAAUUAAAACCCUAGACCCACAAAUCUGAUUGCUUGUUACUAUCAGGUCAUUGAAUGUGACAGGCAUUCAAUCGGCAGUUAUCCUAAGUAAGGAAAGGGUGAAUUAAGAAAGCCUCAAUUUACAACAGUCAACAGAUGUAAGCUGCUAGAUCAUACCACAAAUACAACUUUACUACAAAAAUGAAGAGAACAAGAUGGCGUAUUUGACUGAAAAGAAUCCAUAUAGAACAAGAAAACAAAAAGUGAAGGAUUUUCUUUUCCACUGCUUUGUAAACAGGAAAAAGAUUUUAUCUCAUAACUAAUUCAAAAUGUAUUUCCUCACACAGUAGUAUGCUUUAACAAAGGAAAUACAAGAAAAUUUAUGCUAGCAAAACCUCACAACAUGACAGAAAGGAAUGUUCGAGUACCAAUCAGAAUGAUAUUAAUGAAUGGUUAAGGAUAAACCAAGGAGUAUGAGUUGUUCAAAGUGCCUGCCUCUCCCCUACUUGUCUAUCCACAAGCAUAUAAUACAGUAACCACUGAGAGUAUGACAAUACAACCACCACUGAUAGUACUUUCUAAUGUUGAAAAUAUACCUAAUUGUCCACACUUAAGCACACAGAAAUAUAUCCAAUACCAAAACAGAAAAGAUCCAUAGCAAAUCAGUGAAUAGAAAAAUUACAGGAUAUCUUUACAAAUCUGUCUACAGUUUUGCAACCAGCAACAUCAUCAAACAGAAAUUAGAUCACCAUGCAAACAAGGCAUCCAUCUUAACUACAUUGUCAAGCCAUUUGUAGACAAGAUCAGAAAAACAAACAUCAGGUUUGCUUAGUAAAGCACAGUUUGUAGCUUAUACAGAGUCCCAAAAGGAAAAAAAAGAUUAAAGAAAAUGCCUAUUUGCCAGCAAAAUCGCCAAUUUUACAAAAUUUCCAGGCUUUUACUUCCAAUGCUCCAAAACUUCUAUAAGAAACACAUCCACAUACCAAAUACAACUAAAUUAUAACAGGUAAAAGUUAAAAGCUAAAGUGAGUGGAUUUUUGUCCAGAAAAAAGUAAGAAUGGUUAAAAAUAAUCAAUUAGAAAAAAAAGAAAGAGAAAUACUAACAGGGUUGACUAAGUUGGUACAUCUGGAUGUGAUUCUAGAUGAAGGAUCAUGAUUUAAUGUCCAAGCCCUUAACUGAAGCAUAAUAAAAGGAAGAAAGAAGCAAUACAGAAUGCCCAAUAAGGAGCGGGAUAGUUCAGUGACCUAUUCUCACAGAAAAAGAAAUGUACGAGUCUCCUGUUGCAACAAUAAUUUAGAACAUUCUCAAAGAAUAAUACAAGUCCCUAAUCAAGAACAAAUGGCUAUCAUCUGAUCAUGAUAAUUCAUGAACAUUGCUGCAAGAGGGAUCUUUCAUACACUGCCUAUUGAUACGAUCAAAUCAUAAACCAAUAAUAUCAUACAUGCUCCUUGCUACCCUCAAGGCCAGCUUCCAAAAUUUAACAUUGCCAUAUUGAUUUGGGUGUCCCGCAUGUUAGUUAAUUUAGUUAAUUAUGCGUUAGAAUAACUGGUUCCAAUUAGGCUCAUUUCAACCUUCUACUCCAUUCUAUCCACAAAAAUGCACAACUUAAAAUUAAAACAUUCAUUCCCUGCAUAAAAAUUAGAGAACCAAAAAAUAGAAUUGAUGUUGCCAC
This 1830-nucleotide unclassified non-coding RNA is filed under the name Hevea brasiliensis (rubber tree). The record is from RNAcentral. Lineage: Eukaryota; Viridiplantae; Streptophyta; Magnoliopsida; Malpighiales; Euphorbiaceae.